AAUCAACGUUGGCGGCGCGCCUAACACAUGCAAGUCGAACGAGAAAGUGGAGCAAUCCAUGAGUAAAGUGGCGUACGGGUGAGUAACACGUGGGUAAUCUACCUCUUGGUGGGGAAUAACGCUGGGAAACUGGCGCUAAUACCGCAUAAGUUCGUAAGAAGAAAGUCGCAAGACGCCGAGAGAGGAGCCCGCGGCCGAUUAGCUAGUUGGUAGGGUAAAAGCCUACCAAGGCUAUGAUCGGUAGCCGGCCUGAGAGGGCACACGGCCACACUGGCACUGAAACACGGGCCAGACUCCUACGGGAGGCAGCAGUGGGGAAUCUUGCACAAUGGGGGAAACCCUGAUGCAGCGACGCCGCGUGAGUGAUGAAGCCCUUCGGGGUGUAAAGCUCUUUCGACAGGAACGAUAAUGACGGUACCUGGAGAAGAAGCUGCGGCUAACUACGUG
This 447-nucleotide ribosomal RNA is filed under the name uncultured bacterium. RNAcentral describes it as "bacterial SSU rRNA". It matches the Rfam family "Bacterial small subunit ribosomal RNA", at positions 32 to 507 of the family's 1533-position model. The record is from RNAcentral.